RNAcentral lists this ribosomal RNA (253 nucleotides) under uncultured bacterium. RNAcentral describes it as "partial 16S ribosomal RNA". It matches the Rfam family "Bacterial small subunit ribosomal RNA", at positions 524 to 776 of the family's 1533-position model. The record is from RNAcentral.
UACAGAGGGUGCAAACGUUGCUCGGAAUCAUUGGGCGUAAAGCGCACGUAGGCGGCCCAGCAAGUGGGGAGUGAAAGCCCUCGGCUUAACCGAGGAAGUGCUUUCCAAACUACUGGGCUUGAAUACUGGAGAGGGUCGCGGAAUUCCCGGUGUAGAGGUGAAAUUCGUAGAUAUCGUUUGGAACGCCAAUGGUGAAAACAGGUAGCUGGGAGUGUGCCGACGCUGAGACACGAAAGCCAGGGGAGCGAACGGG